UGGAUUGUUGCUGGCCUUUGGGUAUGUGCACAUCCUCCUCCGAUUUCUAUUCAUCCACCUGUGCACUUUUUGUAGGAGUUCUUUCAUCGGGUUUUUGAAGGUGCUCAUUAUGAGUUACUUGAAAAGACUAGUUGACAAGGCUUCUAUGUUCUUAUAAACCAUUGAAGUAUGUUAUAGAAUGAUCUUGUUAUUGGGACUUUAUUGACCCUUUAAACUUAAUACAACUUUCAGCAACGGAUCUCUUGGCUCUCCCAUCGAUGAAGAACGCAGCGAAAUGCGAUAAGUAAUGUGAAUUGCAGAAUUCAGUGAAUCAUCGAAUCUUUGAACGCACCUUGCGCCCUCUGGUAUUCCGGAGGGCAUGCCUGUUUGAGUGUCAUUAAAUUCUCAACUUUAUAAGUUUUUUACUUAUUAAAGCUUGGAUGUUGGAGGCUUGCAGGCGUUUGUCAGCUCCUCUUAAAUUUAUUAGUGGGAACCCUGUUUUGUUAGUUCUAACCUUGGUGUGAUAAUUAUCUACAUUUUGGUGGAACCUUACAAUAAUAAAGCUCUAUUGGUUUGGGUUGUUGCAUUUAGUUUGCUCAAUCUGUUCUAUUCAUUGGAGAAAAAGGGAAGUUCUGCUUUCUAACUGUCUUGAUUGACUAUAUAUAACUUA
Molecule: ribosomal RNA, 649 nt
Filed under: Lentinula edodes (shiitake mushroom)
Lineage: Eukaryota; Fungi; Basidiomycota; Agaricomycetes; Agaricales; Omphalotaceae
Description: eukaryotic LSU rRNA
Rfam family: 5.8S ribosomal RNA (bases 223-376)
Source: RNAcentral